Molecule: ribosomal RNA, 496 nt
Filed under: uncultured bacterium
Lineage: Bacteria
Description: partial 16S ribosomal RNA
Rfam family: Bacterial small subunit ribosomal RNA
Source: RNAcentral
GAUGAACGCUGGCGGCGUGCCUAAUACAUGCAAGUCGAGCGAACAGACGAGGAGCUUGCUCCUCUGACGUUAGCGGCGGACGGGUGAGUAACACGUGGAUAACCUACCUAUAAGACUGGGAUAACUUCGGGAAACCGGAGCUAAUACCGGAUAAUAUAUUGAACCGCAUGGUUCAAUAGUGAAAGACGGUUUUGCUGUCACUUAUAGAUGGAUCCGCGCCGCAUUAGCUAGUUGGUAAGGUAACGGCUUACCAAGGCGACGAUGCGUAGCCGACCUGAGAGGGUGAUCGGCCACACUGGAACUGAGACACGGUCCAGACUCCUACGGGAGGCAGCAGUAGGGAAUCUUCCGCAAUGGGCGAAAGCCUGACGGAGCAACGCCGCGUGAGUGAUGAAGGUCUGCGGAUCGUAAAACGCUGUUAUUAGGGAAGAACAAAUGUGUAAGUAACUAUGCACGUCUUGACGGUACCUAAGCAGAAAGCCACGGCUAACUACGU